UUUUGUUGAAUAAUUUCACAUCAAAAUAGAUUAUCAUAUGUUAGCAACCUAUUUCGGAGAAAAUGCCAUACAAUAAUAGAAACUUUUAAAAGUGACACUUUGUGCCAAAUAACAUCUUGAAGGUUAUCGACCGGAUCAUCCUUAACCAACAGGUGAUAAACAUCUCUGAUGGUGUAGCCUUUGUCAGAUGUGAGUUGUCAUUUUCACCUAUCUUCCACCUCAUAUUGUCUUUGUAAAAAAAAGGUAGAUAAUAGCUCCCUAUACUCCAACAACAUCUCCUCUUCCUAACCAAACAAUCGACGCCGCCAUUUUCAAACCUCGCCAGGAUAAAAAUGAAGAUAGCAACACUCAAUAUUUGGAGAUGGAGUAUAUGGUAUGCUCAAGAGUGAAGACAUUAAAUCUUGUCUUGGUCGCUUAAUGUAAGACAUUACUGCGGCAAACGCCAUAAGUGCAAUUUGAUUGAGAUUGAGACUAUUGUGGGUGGUUUUAUUUGGGAAAGAGUUAAAAUUCAAAGCUUUCAUUUUGUCCUCUGGUGAAAAAAGUCACGGGCAUUUCCGUGAAGAUUAAUUAUGGUGAAUAAAUCGUCAGAGCUUCUAAUUCUAAACAGUAAUUUUUUUUUUCUUUCCCAUUUACAAAGGUUGGUAUAGUACUCAAAUUUUUUUGUCUUUGUUAAUGUGAGAUUGUUGAUGUGAGUUUAGCUAACAUAUUAGUUGAUAAGAUAUUGACUCAUCUAUAAUGUCGUGGGUUCAACUCUCUGCCAAUCUGAACCAUACUUUUAGUCGGUGUGAUUUGUAAGUACAAGUAUUGAGGCAUGCCCUGAUCUAUUGAAGCUAUAUAGCUCAACUUAGAAACUUUUUCUCAUUUAAAAUAAAACAUAAUAAUA
RNAcentral lists this long non-coding RNA (883 nucleotides) under Medicago truncatula (barrel medic). Its description in RNAcentral is "lncRNA gene1626". The record is from RNAcentral. Lineage: Eukaryota; Viridiplantae; Streptophyta; Magnoliopsida; Fabales; Fabaceae.